AUUCAUCAUCUGAGUUUAGCAGCCACAGUUAUUGUAUCUAGUUUGGAAUUUCAGUUCUUUAAUUCACUACUUAUCUUGGUACUGAAUAUUGUGCCCACUAGGAGUCAUGUGUUUGUUUCUUCACUGGAAGCCAUGAUAGCUUCUUCCGGCGAUCUUAGUACAAAGCGAUUUCAAAAUAAUGUUUAGCCUGGAAAGUGUUCUUCCCUGCCUGACAUAGGAGAGAGCUGGAGUGGCUGCCAUAUACUUCAGCUUGCCGGGUGUAGUCCUAUUCUACGCUUCUUGUCUCAAGAUAUUUACUUAAAGUAGAGUUACAUCCUUCUUCAUCUAUCCUGGGCCAUGAGUGAGAAGUGUAUGCUGAGCACAGCAGAGCAGCAAGAUAGGAAAGCCAGAAUCCCUCUUGAUUUGAUGAAGAUCCUGUGUAAGUUUCUGACUGCCUGCUUCCAAAUCCUUUUAUGUGUAAGAAAAAUUAGCUUUUAUCUUA
This is a long non-coding RNA of Felis catus (domestic cat), 481 nucleotides long. RefSeq lists it as uncharacterized. The transcript is spliced from 3 exons. The record is from RefSeq and is a predicted model, not a curated record. Lineage: Eukaryota; Metazoa; Chordata; Mammalia; Carnivora; Felidae.